Molecule: transfer RNA, 96 nt
Organism: Gaeumannomyces graminis
Lineage: Eukaryota; Fungi; Ascomycota; Sordariomycetes; Magnaporthales; Magnaporthaceae
Rfam family: tRNA
About the family: Transfer RNA (tRNA) molecules are approximately 80 nucleotides in length.
Source: Rfam
GGGCGAAUGGUUUAGGGGUAUAACGUUCGCUUCGCAUUGUAGAAUCAUCUGCAGCGGCAUUGCGAAAGGUCCGGGGUUCGAUUCCCUGUUUGUCCA